UACGUACUCCCUCCGUCCCAAAAUUCUUGUCUUAGAUUAGUAUGUAGUACAUCCGUAUCUAGACUAAUCUAAGACAAGAAUUUUGGGACGGAGGGAGUAUAUC
Triticum aestivum (bread wheat) is the source of this 103-nucleotide non-coding RNA. NCBI's taxonomy places the organism in Eukaryota, Viridiplantae, Streptophyta, Magnoliopsida, Poales, Poaceae. The record is from Rfam.